GAUGAAGAACGUAGCGAAAUGCGAUAAGUAGUGUGAAUUGCAGAAUUCAGUGAAUCAUCGAAUCUUUGAACGCACAUUGCGCCCUUUGGCAUUCCUUAGGGCAUGCCUGUUCGAGCGUCAUUUAAACCUUCAAGCUAAGCUUGGUGUUGGGUGACUGUCCGCUUCACGGCGGACUCGCCUCAAAAUUAUUGGCGGCCGGUACAUUGGCUUCGAGCGCAGCAGAAACGCGAACUCGGGCCCGUCGUAUUGGCUCCCAGAAGCUAUCUUCACAAUUUUGACCUCGGAUCAGGUAGGGAUACCCGCUGAACUUAAGCAUAUCAAUAAGCGGAGGA
RNAcentral lists this unclassified non-coding RNA (332 nucleotides) under soil metagenome. RNAcentral describes it as "partial contains 5.8S ribosomal RNA, internal transcribed spacer 2, and large subunit ribosomal RNA". The stretch from base 1 to 120 matches the Rfam family "5.8S ribosomal RNA", at positions 35 to 154 of the family's 154-position model. The record is from RNAcentral.